GCGCUGGCUUCGGCAGCACAUACACUAAAAUUGGAACAAUGCAGAGAUUAGCAUGGCCCCUGUGCAUGAAUGACACACAAACUAGUGAAGCGUUCCAUAUUUUU
Small nuclear RNA from Microtus ochrogaster (prairie vole), 104 nucleotides. Lineage: Eukaryota; Metazoa; Chordata; Mammalia; Rodentia; Cricetidae. The record is from Ensembl.